Molecule: ribosomal RNA, 506 nt
Filed under: uncultured bacterium
Lineage: Bacteria
Description: partial 16S ribosomal RNA
Rfam family: Bacterial small subunit ribosomal RNA
Source: RNAcentral
GACGAACGCUGGCGGCGUGCUUAACACAUGCAAGUCGAACGGGCCUUGUCCCCUUUUUUUGGGGGUGGGGUUAGUGGCAAACGGGUGAGUAACACGUGAGUAACCUGCCCCUCACUUCUGGAUAACCGCUUGAAAGGGUGGCUAAUACGGGGUGUUCUGGCCUGCUCGCAUGGGUGGGUUUGGAAAGAUUCGACCGGUUUUGGUUGUUUUGGUGGGGGAUGGGCUCGCGGCCUAUCAGCUUGUUGGUGGGGUGAUGGCCUGCCAAGGCUUUGACGGGUAGCCGGCCUGAGAGGGUGGGCGGUCACACUGGGACUGAGACACGGCCCAGACUCCUACGGGAGGCAGCAGUGGGGAAUAUUGCACAAUGGGCGCAAGCCUGAUGCAGCGACGCCGCGUGAGGGAUGGAGGCCGUCGGGUUGUGAACCUCUUUCGCCAGUGAAGAAGGUCCUGCUCUUUGUGGUGGGGUUGACGGUAGCUGGGUUAAUGAAGCGCCGGCUAACUACGUG